Molecule: long non-coding RNA, 2634 nt
Organism: Hirundo rustica (Barn swallow)
Lineage: Eukaryota; Metazoa; Chordata; Aves; Passeriformes; Hirundinidae
Exons: 4
Source: RefSeq, a predicted model, not a curated record
CCAAUAUUCUACUGAGUUUCCACAAGGCUUACUUCUCUUCUGUUCCUCCAGACCAGAUCAGUGAGGGUGAUGCUCUUGGACUGAUCGACCCUCCUGCAGGCAGCUAAGGACAUGCACGUGCCGCUGUGAGAGGAGGAAUAUAUAUGCUUUAGGAAAGGACUUUAUGGGAAGUGGUGACUGUGACUAAAUGUCUUGGUGGAUGGUUCCAGUGAGCUGAUCCCCAUGGUGAGCAGGUUUUUCCCAGGUUUAUGAGUUUCAUCUGAGCAGAGCAGGAAUGCUUGUACUGACCCGGGUGUUGCUGAUGUCAGAAACCUGGGGACACUUCACAGUGCUCCUUUGCUUCUUGGGAUGUCACUGCAUUUUUGAAUCACUGCUGCAUUGGAUGACUGCCUUGGAUGAAGAUGUUCAAAACAGCAAGUGGUUGCAGCAAUUUUUAACUCCCCUAAGGUGAAGAGUGGUAGUUCUGCUGAUCUGCCAUGUACCACAUGUGUUUGCUGCUUCCUCCCAGCACAAGGGUGCAGGGACCUGUGGGGCUGGAGCAGGAUGGCACACUGUGGUUCUGUUUCAAGCAGCUUUCAAUGAAAAUGAGCAUCGGCUUGAUCUGGAAAAAUGCAAUGUGAACAUAGAAGCAGAGAGAACUCUCAAAACCAACUUCCUGGAUCGAGAGAGAAGAGCUCCAGCACAGUGGCCCUUUGUUGUACACUCACAGGCUGCAAAGGGAUGGGAUGUGUAAGACAAGGCUGUGUGCUUGCAGCAUUGCCCACGUGCAGUCUUGGGGGCAGAAUUGACACCUGUGCCACCACACAUCACUGCUGGGGCUGCCUACUCUCACACAAAGUACUGGAGACCAUCUCACCUCUACCACAGCUCACCUAGCUUAAUGGCUUCCUACAACAUCUCCCAGUUCAAAAGAAACUAAACUAUCUAUGCUUAUUUGACUUGGAGGAGCUGGUUGGUAUGCACAUCAUUUCUGCAUCUACGCAGCACUUGAAUAGCCUGGGCCUUUUCUUAUUACACCAGUGAAUAGCAGGCUUACACAUGCAAGUGAAAUCAGCUUCCACAUCAGGAGGAAGAGAAAUCUGUACUUGUUGGGGAAAACCUUUCAGGCAUUUAGAGCUGUAAAGUUGUCUGAAGCAGUUGUUGGUUAUAAUACCACCUUUGCCUAUGGCUUGCUGUUUAACAGCAUUGGUGUGUUGGUGCUAGUGAUCCCACACGUUGCUGUCAAAGCAGGUGGUGGUGAAGAAGGCUGUGUGCAUUUAAAAAGGGCUUGGGAGCAGCUUAUAACAGUAGGUCAAAAGUACCUGUGAGGAUGUCUGCCCCAUUCCAGUUGCCUGGCUCCAUAAAGCAGCUUUUCCCCUCCAGCUUUUGGCUUUGCACCCUUCCAGUGAUCAACCCUUGAUAGGUCCCAUCUGAUUUUUAUAUUUCAAAACACUACUUCUGAUGCUUCCUCCUCUCUCUCUCUCUCUCUCUGUUUCUAUCUUCUCAGUGCAUCUGGCUUUUUCCUUAGGCUCGAGUCCUGUCUAAGCCUGGUAAGUGAUUCUUCUUCUUGUGAGAUCCAGCCCUGAGCUUUGCCAUCACUCCCUGUGGAAGGGAGGUUUUACAGGCUCUUUUGGAUGUCUGAGUUGCCAGGUUAUCUGCUUUCUUGCUGAAUGUCUGUUAAAAGCAGCAGCUGGUUUAUCUGAUGGUAUCUGCUGUUGUAAACUGUGUUGUUAUUGUUCACCCUUUUGAUAUUUUUCUUUUCUUAAUUCUUCCUCUGCUGUCUCACUAGUCAGAUUUCCCAAAUAGCAAGGGAGCACCUUGGUAAUUUUACUUCUUGACUAAAUCCUUCUAAUUUCCCAUUUCUCUUCAGCAGUCCCAGGGGGAAUAUCUUCUAGGGGAAAAGUAGCUGUACAGCUACCAGGGCUCCUUUGCAUCCACACAUGCAGCCCUCGCUGGUGUAAUGCACUCAGUUAUCCCGAUGUUCAGCACAUCAGCCAAACACCCUUCGAGUUUUCUUUCUUUUGUUUCCCCCUCACUCCUGCAUCCUCCCUUCUGCUCCUGGGAAGGGUUCUCUGCAGACCCACCCGCUGGAUGCAGGGGCAGAGGGAUGUUGGAUAGAGCAGGUCUUUGCAGCACCUGGACAUGGGAGUGUUGCAGCAAUAACACAUGCUGCUCCAUGAAACCGGGGCUAGAUUCUGUGCAGUUUUUAAGUGCCUUCAGCUCUUCCCUCCCAAGCCCUGUCUGGACUGACACAUUCCUUAGGAAAGCUUUAUCUACUGACAUGGAAGAUAAAAUUAACUGUCAUUUGUUUAGCUACAUAUUGCACAGAAAAUAGAUCUUUGAACCCCCACAAUAUUCUAAAUGCAUAAAAAGAUCUAUUAUAAAAGAGAGAUGCUGAAGUUAUUCUGUAGAUUUAAGUCAUAAAAGUUAUCAAAUUAUUAAAUUCAAGUCUAGAUACAGGCUAUUUCACUGAGCUUUAGUGCAUUUCCCCUUUAGAAGAUAUUCUAAUUUAUGACUGCUUAAGUAGAGGGUACAAUAAUUUGCAUAAAAAAAUGGAACUGGAGCUCUUUCACAGCAAAGUAAUGCUGCAACCAUAUCUACCAUCUACUGUCAAAUAUUCGUCUUUGUUUGAAUCCCCAAAUUCUUUUUUUACAA